Molecule: ribosomal RNA, 1432 nt
Filed under: metagenome
Description: bacterial LSU rRNA
Rfam family: Bacterial large subunit ribosomal RNA
Source: RNAcentral
UAAGCGUGUAGGAGGAGGACCAGGUGAAUCCGGGCCUCAUAAACUCUGAGACGUGAUACCGAGCCGCUUCAGGCGAAGUCAUUGAUCCAAUGCUGCCUAGAAAAGCCCAGCAGCGAGUUGACAUGGUGCCCGUACCCCAAACCAACACAGGUGGACAGGUAGAGCAUACCAAGGCGAGUGGGAUAACUAUGGUUAAGUAACUCGGCAAAUUGCCUCCGUAACUUCGGGAGAAGGAGGACCCCAGUAGCGUGAUGAGACUUGCUCUCUGAGCGUGAAGGGGUGGCACAAAAUUGAGGGAAGCGACUGUUUACCAAAAACACAGCAGCGUGCUAAGCCGUAAGGCGCUGUAUACGCUGUGACUCCUGCCCGGUGCUGGAAGGUUACGGGGAUGGGUUAGUCCUUCGGGACGAAGCUCUGAACCUAAGCCCCAGUAAACGGCGGCCGUAACUAUAACGGUCCUAAGGUAGCGAAAUUCCUUGUCGGGUAAGUUCCGACCUGCACGAAUGGAGUAACGACUUCCCUACUGUCUCAACCAUAGACCCAGCGAAAUUGAAGUACGAGUAAAGAUGCUCGUUAGCUGCAGAAGGACGGAAAGACCCCGUGGACCUUUACUAUAACUUGAUGUUGUGUUUUGUCAUAUGUUGUGUAGGAUAGGUGGGAGACUUGGAAGCAUGGACGCUAGUCUGUGUGGAGUCAUCGUUGAAAUACCACCCUCAUAUGGUGAGGCUCUAACCUAGACCCGUUAUCCGGGUUGGGGACAGCGUCAGGCGGGUAGUUUAACUGGGGCGGUUGCCUCCUAAAGAGUAACGGAGGCGCCCAAAGGUUCCCUCAGCCUGGUUGGCAAUCAGGCGUUGAGUGCAAUGGCAAAAGGGAGCUUGACUGCGAGACCUACAAGUCGAGCAGGAGCGAAAGCUGGGCAUAGUGAUCCGGCGGUUGCGUGUGGAAGCGCCGUCGCUCAACGGAUAAAAGGUACCCCGGGGAUAACAGGCUAAUCUUGCCCAAGCGUCCAUAGCGACGGCAAGGUUUGGCACCUCGAUGUCGGCUCAUCGCAUCCUGGGGCUGAAGCAGGUCCCAAGGGUUGGGCUGUUCGCCCAUUAAAGCGGUACGCGAGCUGGGUUCAGAACGUCGUGAGACAGUUCGGUCCCUAUCCUCUGCAGCCGGAGGUGAAUUGAGGAAAGCUGUCCCUAGUACGAGAGGACCGGGACGGACGCAGCUCUCGUGUGCCAGUUGUCCUGCCAAGGGCAUGGCUGGUUAGCGACCUGCGGAAAGGAUAACCGCUGAAAGCAUCUAAGCGGGAAGCCUCUUCCAAGAUGAAUUCACCCACAGGGUUAACCUGGUAAGGCCCGUGGUAGACCACCACGUUGAUAGGCCGGAAGUGUAAGCGUGGCAACACGUUCAGCUGACCGGUACUAAUCGGCCGAGGGCUUGAGUG